RNAcentral lists this ribosomal RNA (630 nucleotides) under uncultured Acinetobacter sp. Its description in RNAcentral is "bacterial SSU rRNA". It matches the Rfam family "Bacterial small subunit ribosomal RNA", at positions 28 to 654 of the family's 1533-position model. The record is from RNAcentral. Lineage: Bacteria; Pseudomonadati; Pseudomonadota; Gammaproteobacteria; Moraxellales; Moraxellaceae.
AAUUGACGCUGGCGGCAGCUUACCCAUGCAGUCGAGCGGAGCGAAGGUGCUUGCACCUUAGCUUAGCGGCGGACGGGUGAGUAAUGCUUAGGAAUCUGCCUAUUAGUGGGGGGACAACGUUUCGAAAGGAACGCUAAUACCGCAUACGUCCUACGGGAGAAAGCAGGGGAUCUUCGGACCUUGUGCUAAUAGAUGAGCCUAAGUCGGAUUAGCUAGUUGGUGGGGUAAAGGCCUACCAAGGCGACGAUCUGUAGCGGGUCUGAGAGGAUGAUCCGCCACACUGGGACUGAGACACGGCCCAGACUCCUACGGGAGGCAGCAGUGGGGAAUAUUGGACAAUGGGCGAAAGCCUGAUCCAGCCAUGCCGCGUGUGUGAAGAAGGCCUUUUGGUUGUAAAGCACUUUAAGCGAGGAGGAGGCUUCUUUGGUUAAUACCCAAAGUAAGUGGACGUUACUCGCAGAAUAAGCACCGGCUAACUCUGUGCCAGCAGCCGCGGUAAUACAGAGGGUGCAAGCGUUAAUCGGAUUUACUGGGCGUAAAGCGUGCGUAGGCGGCUAAUUAAGUCAAAUGUGAAAUCCCCGAGCUUAACUUGGGAAUUGCAUUCGAUACUGGUUAGCUAGAGUAUGGGAG